Long non-coding RNA from Nyctereutes procyonoides (raccoon dog), 817 nucleotides. RefSeq lists it as uncharacterized. Lineage: Eukaryota; Metazoa; Chordata; Mammalia; Carnivora; Canidae. The record is from RefSeq and is a predicted model, not a curated record. The transcript is spliced from 5 exons.
GCCGGCCCCGCGGGCUUCCCGGGAGGCGGGGACUACGCCUGGCUCCGGAGCUGCUGGUGGACCCCGGCUGGGCGGUCAGUGUGGAGCGUUGUCGCCCAGGCGCGCCUCGGAGGCAUUCCCUUGGUGUGGAGGAAGACAUGGUCCCUUCCCUAAGAUGAACUCACAGUCUUCUGGGGGAGACAGACGUUCACAGAGGAGAGAGAGAGAGAGGCAGAGACACAGGCAGAGGGAGAAGCAGGCUCCAUGCACCGGGAGCCCGACGUGGGAUUCGAUCCCGGGUCUCCAGGAUCGCGCCCUGGGCCAAAGGCAGGCGCCAAACCGCUGCGCCACCCAGGGAUCCCUUGAGUUGUGCUUUGAAGGACAAAAAUCACACAGAGAGAGAGAGAGAGAGAGGCAGAGACACAGGCAGAGGGAGAAGCAGGCUCCAUGCACCGGGAGCCCGACGUGGGAUUCGAUCCGGGGUCUCCAGGAUCGCGCCCUGGGCCAAAGGCAGGCACUAAACCGCUGGGCCACCCAGGGAUCCCGGGAACAGAUAUUUUAAUGUGAGGCAUCUUCUCCAUGAAUAUGAGAGAGUAAGAAAGCACAAGGAGUGGGAGCAGCAAAGGAGAAGCAGGCUCUCCAUUACGCAGGGAGCCCAACGCGGAGCUUGAUCACAGGACUCUGAGCUGAAGGCAGUUGCUUAAUCGACUGGGCCACCCAGGUGCCCCUCUCUAUAAUGUUUUACAGUGAACAGACCUUUUGCUAAAUUGGUUCCAAAGUAUUUUAUGUUUUUUCAAGCUACUGUAAGUGAAAUUGAAUAAAUUCAUCUUUAAAGUAA